CUGACCCUUUCUCUCUCUGCAGGUGGCUCCGCUGCCGGAUGGGAGUGUCCCAGUGUGCUGGAUGAAGCUGGCGCAUGCACCAUGUCAUCAUGUGUCUCUAGCCAGCCCAGCAGCAACCGGGCCGCCCCCCAGGAUGAGCUGCGGGGCAGGGGCAGCAGCAGCAGCCAAAGCCAGAAGCCCUGUGAGGCCCUGCGGGGCCUCUCAUCCUUGAGCAUUCACCUGGGUAUGGAGUCCUUCAUUGUGGUCACCGAGUGUGAGCCGGGCUGUGCUGUGGACCUUGGCUUGGCCCGGGACCGGCCCCUGGAGGCCGAUGGCCAAGAGGUCCCCCUCGACACCUCCAGGUCCCAGGCCCGACCCCACCUCUCCGGUCGCAAGCUUUCUCUGCAAGAGCAGUCCCAGGGUGGGCUGGCAGCCGGCGGCAGCCUGGACAUGAACGGACGCUGCAUCUGCCCGUCCCUGCCCUACUCGCCCGUCAGCUCCCCUCAGUCCUCGCCUCGGCUGCCCCGGCGGCCGACAGUGGAGUCUCACCAUGUCUCCAUCACGGGUAUGCAGGACUGUGUGCAGCUGAAUCAGUAUACCCUGAAGGAUGAAAUUGGAAAGGGCUCAUAUGGUGUCGUCAAGUUGGCCUACAAUGAAAAUGACAAUACCUACUAUGCAAUGAAGGUGCUGUCCAAAAAGAAGCUGAUCCGGCAGGCCGGCUUUCCACGUCGCCCCCCACCCCGAGGCACCCGGCCAGCUCCUGGAGGCUGCAUCCAGCCCAGGGGCCCCAUUGAGCAGGUGUACCAGGAAAUCGCCAUCCUCAAGAAGCUGGACCACCCCAAUGUGGUGAAGCUGGUGGAGGUCCUGGAUGACCCCAACGAGGACCAUCUGUACAUGGUGUUCGAACUGGUCAACCAAGGGCCCGUGAUGGAAGUGCCCACCCUCAAACCACUCUCUGAAGACCAGGCCCGUUUCUACUUCCAGGAUCUGAUCAAAGGCAUCGAGUACUUACACUACCAGAAGAUCAUCCACCGUGACAUCAAACCUUCCAACCUUCUGGUCGGAGAAGAUGGGCACAUCAAGAUUGCUGACUUCGGUGUGAGCAAUGAGUUCAAGGGCAGUGACGCGCUCCUCUCCAACACCGUGGGCACACCUGCCUUCAUGGCGCCCGAGUCACUCUCCGAGACCCGCAAGAUCUUCUCUGGGAAGGCUUUGGAUGUUUGGGCCAUGGGCGUGACACUAUACUGCUUUGUCUUUGGCCAGUGCCCAUUCAUGGACGAGCGGAUCAUGUGUUUACACAGUAAGAUCAAGAGUCAGGCCCUGGAAUUUCCAGACCAGCCUGACAUAGCUGAGGACUUGAAGGACCUGAUCACCCGUAUGCUGGACAAGAACCCUGAGUCAAGGAUCGUGGUGCCGGAAAUCAAGCUGUCUUGCAUGCCUGACCACAGGCCCUCGCCUCUCCCUCCUGCAUGCCCUCGUGGCUCCGCUCGCUGGCAGGGCCCUCCGGGAGCCAGCCGCAUCUGCCCCUCACCCCUCCUGUCGUUCGUUGAAGCUGCACCCCUGGGUCACGAGGCACGGGGCGGAGCCGUUGCCGUCGGAGGAUGAGAACUGCACGCUGGUCGAAGUGACUGAAGAGGAGGUCGAGAACUCAGUCAAACACAUUCCCAGCCUGGCGACCGUGAUCCUGGUGAAGACCAUGAUACGUAAACGCUCCUUUGGGAACCCAUUCGAGGGCAGCCGGCGGGAGGAGCGUUCGCUGUCAGCGCCUGGAAACCUGCUCACGAAGCAAGGCAGCGAAGACAACCUCCAGGGCACCGACCCGCCCCCCGUGGGGGAGGAGGAAGUGCUCUUGUGAGAGGCAGUCCCUGCGUGGAAAGUUGCCGGGCCCCCGCCCCCGGCUCCCCCGCACGCAUGCAUCCACCGGGGCCGGAGGAGGCGAUGGAGCCCGAGUAGCUGCCUGGAUCGCUCGACCUCGCAUGCGCGCCGCAUCGCCUCUCGGGGGCUGCUGCACCGCGUUUCCAUAGCAGCAUGUCCUACGGAAACCCAGCACGUGUGUAGAGCCUCGAUCGUCAUCUCUCGUUAUUUGUUUUUUUCCUUUGUUGUUUUAAAGGGGCCAAAAAAAAAAAAAAAAAAAAAAAAAAAAAACAAAGGACUUGACUCCAUGACGUCGACCUUGGCCGCUGGCUGGCUGAACAGGCGGGUGUGAGGAGUUGCAGACCCAAACCCAUGUGCAUUUUGGGACAAUUGCUUUUUAAAACGUUUUUAUGCCAAAAACCCUUCAUUGUGAUUUUCAGAACCGUGUCAGAUAUACCAAGUGACUGUGUGUGGGGUUUGACAACUGUGGAAAGGUGAGCAGAAAACUCCGGUGGUCUGAGGCCAUGGAGGUGUUUGCUGCAUUUGAUAGGGAGUAGGGGGCUAGAUGUGGCUCCUUGUACAAACCCCAAACCAUGGCACCUUCCAGAGCCAUGGUCUCAAGAAGUCAGAGCAGGGCUGGCCCUCAGUAGCUGCAGGGAGCUUUGAUGCAACUUAUUUGUAAGAAGGAGUUUUAAAUUUUUUAAUGGGUAGAAUUGUCAGGAAGGUAGAAAGGGCUUGAAAUUUAAUAAGUGCUUCUGGAAGGGGAUUUUCCAAGCCUGGAAGGGUAUUCAGCAGCUGUGGUGGGAAAAAGUUUCUCCUGAAAGACUGAACGUGUUUCUUCAUGACAGCUGCUCAAAGUAGGUUUCUGAGAAAGUUGACCGAGCUCUGGUAAAUCUCUUUGUCAAAUUACAAAAACUUCAGGGUGAAAUCCUAUGCUUCCAUGUACAUUACAUGGCUUAAGAUUAAACAAAAAAAUUUUCAAGCCUAACUAGACUGAACUCUAAAGCACAGUAGUUCAGAAAUCAUUUAGAGCUUCCAGGAUAUAUUUCACGGCUUCAGACAUGUGAUCAGUUAGAGCCGAUGAAAUCUGUGCCCACCUGUAUAUAUUAGCAGCUUAGCUAGUUCAUAACCUGUGUAUUCUAAAGACUGCUAAGGUUUUGUUUUCAUUUUAAAUCCUAGCUGAUUGUUGUGGUCAAUGAAAUAUCCAGUUUCUGGAGGGCCAGUUGGGAAAUGCUUUCACUGGACCGAAAGACAAAUGUUCAUCGUGAGGAUCUGAGCUUCCCUAGACUCCACACAGUAACCUUGGGACACCCUUCUAGAGAAGAUUGUUGAAACCCACAGCACUCCUCGGGCUAUGAGGAAACCAGGGCUUGGCACAGGAAGUUCCCCUUUGUAGCUAAAAGUCCAGCAAGAAAGGGUUCAUCUUUUUGACUUCCAAUUAAUAUUGGGAAGUUUGGUUGAGGUUCAAGUGUGACUCCUUUCAGAGUCACAGGUAGGGGAGUGUAAAGUUGGGGGGAGGAAAGCUGGAAGGACUCUGGGAGAUUCCCAGCUCUGCUUUCCAGGGCUUGGCAGAAUCUGGACUGGGGAAAGAUGGCACCGGGAAACUCUGCUUCCCCGACGUUUACAUCUGAUCAGCCCUGGUGUGAGGACUUCUCAGACAAAGGCAAGACCGUGUGCCCCUGCCCAGCCCAUUCAUGGAGCCCUGGGCCUUCUUGGCUUCCAUAGAUCCUAAGCUCUUGACUAUAGUUUAGCCAGACUUGUUUUGCUAUCUUAUAAGCAGUUCAGAAUGAGGGAAUGCUGGUUUUGAAGAGCAAAGGACAGGUAGCCUAGAGAGGGCCAUCUGGCCUGUUUGCUGGGUCUUUGUAACCCAGCACUUCCUCUUGCCCUCCUGACUUUACGUUUAUGGGGAGAGGACUCAAUAGCUCCACCCCUUCUGGCACCAGAUGGGGCUUGGGUAGUUUGCAAUAAGCACCUUGCAGAGGUUAAAGCCUUGGCGGGUCCCUAGUCUUAGGCCCAGCCUGCUUGUGUGGGCUCUGGCCUGGCCCGGUGGCUGGCCCAGGGGGCGGCAGUGCUCAGAGCUUCUGCAGGGCUUCUCUUGUUUACACAGCUGCAUCAGACAAUGCCAUUUCUCCCCACCAUGGAACCUUCCAUCUAAGAUUUCUUCCAGGGAAUGCCAGCAAUCAGGCAGCACCCAGCUGUGGGGGCAGUGGGGUGGGGGAGGCCCACAUUGAUGACUUUUUUUUUUUUUUUAACGAAGAAACACCAAAGCAAGCUGUGGAAAGGACCCACCCCUCAUGAAAAGGAUAAGCCAAGAUAGCUGUAAACACAAAGCAUUUGAGCUGCCACUCUGUUGGGGCACAUUGAUUUUUCAAAAGCCAGCUCUGUCAGGAAAGGAGGUGCUGUUAUGAGCAGCUCUUCCAGGGGGGCAAAGAGGAUGCCCAUAAUUUCUUCCAUUGCUGGCUCAUCUGUGGGACCAAUUUGGUGUAAGCAACCUGUGGCCUGCACCCGUGGCCUCGAAGGAAGCACAAACCCUCCAUCCACUUCCCAUUUCCUCUACCCUUUUCCACCUCCCCCUUCUAUCCCACCAGCUGCCAGUGGCUCCCAGAAAGCCUUAUUGAGCCCCUUGUUGACACUUAGGGCUGCAGAGGCCUCUCCCCACUGGCUUGGCCUUUCCUGAGAGGCAGGGCUCCCAUCCUCAGAGCCUUUCUGGAACAAGGAGAAUGCCUGUGCAGGUGGACACAGGCCUGGCCUGUCGCUGUCACUUGUCUUCCAGCAGGGAGCUUCACGUUGCUGAGUGGAAGAACCAUGACCUCCACUUGCUUCCAAGGUGCUAGGGAAGUUUCAGGGUACGCUGGUUCCCCUCUCCAGCUGGAGGCCGAGUUUCUGGGGACUGCAGACUUUUCUACUCUGUGAUCAAUUCAACGCCCGAUGCUUCUGUUUCAUUCCUGACCCUUUCUACUAUGCAUUUUCCUUUUAUCAGGUGUAUAAAGUUAAAUACUGUGUAUUUAUCACUAAAAAGUACAUGAACUUAAGAGAAAAAUAAGCCUUUCGUGUUUUUCCACAGAUGUUGAAGCUUCUCUGUAAAGUUGAAAUAAACAGCAAAAUGGUGC
RNA transcript from Piliocolobus tephrosceles (Ugandan red Colobus), 4943 nucleotides. It is a transcript of the gene named calcium/calmodulin dependent protein kinase kinase 2, with no coding region annotated. The record is from RefSeq and is a predicted model, not a curated record. Lineage: Eukaryota; Metazoa; Chordata; Mammalia; Primates; Cercopithecidae. The transcript has 15 exons.